UACGUAGGGGGCAAGCGUUGUCCGGAUUUAUUGGGCGUAAAGAGCGUGUAGGCGGCCUGACAGGUCUGCUGUGAAAACUCGAGGCUCAACCUCGAGAUGUCGGCGGAAACCGUCUGGCUAGAGUCCGGAAGAGGAGAGUGGAAUUCCUGGUGUAGCGGUGAAAUGCGCAGAUAUCAGGAAGAACACCGAUGGCGAAGGCAGGUCUCUGGGCCAUAACUGACGCUGAGAAGCGAAAGCAUGGGGAGCGAACAGG
This 253-nucleotide ribosomal RNA is filed under the name uncultured bacterium. RNAcentral describes it as "partial 16S ribosomal RNA". It matches the Rfam family "Bacterial small subunit ribosomal RNA", at positions 524 to 776 of the family's 1533-position model. The record is from RNAcentral.